GACGAACGCUGGCGGCGUGCCUAAUACAUGCAAGUUGAGCGAUGAAGCUUGGUGCUUGCACCAAUUUGAAGAGCAGCGAACGGGUGAGUAACGCGUGGGGAAUCUGCCUUUGAGCGGGGGACAACAUUUGGAAACGAAUGCUAAUACCGCAUAACAACUUUAAACAUAAGUUUUAAGUUUGAAAGAUGCAAUUGCAUCACUCAAAGAUGAUCCCGCGUUGUAUUAGCUAGUUGGUGAGGUAAAGGCUCACCAAGGCGAUGAUACAUAGCCGACCUGAGAGGGUGAUCGACCACAUUGGGACUGAGACACGGCCCAAACUCCUACGGGAGGCAGCAGUAGGGAAUCUUCGGCAAUGGACGAAAGUCUGACCGAGCAACGCCGCGUGAGUGAAGAAGGUUUUCGGAUCGUAAAACUCUGUUGGUAGAGAAGAACGUUGGUGAGAGUGGAAAGCUCAUCAAGUGACGGUAACUACCCAGAAAGGGACGGCUAACUACGU
RNAcentral lists this ribosomal RNA (496 nucleotides) under uncultured bacterium. RNAcentral describes it as "partial 16S ribosomal RNA". It matches the Rfam family "Bacterial small subunit ribosomal RNA", at positions 28 to 506 of the family's 1533-position model. The record is from RNAcentral.